Molecule: long non-coding RNA, 371 nt
Organism: Cinclus cinclus
Lineage: Eukaryota; Metazoa; Chordata; Aves; Passeriformes; Cinclidae
Exons: 3
Source: RefSeq, a predicted model, not a curated record
UGCUGGCUGAAUAGCAACAUUUUGAAGCAGUCGCUUUGACCCAGAUGAUCACCUUUUGUCAUAUCUCAAAUAUCUGAAAAUGCAAAGGUGCUGUGUUACAAUGGAAAGUGAAAGACAAUUUCAUAAACAGACAUUCCUACUGAUACUAUUUUUUUUUCCUUUUUUAAAUGCACCGCCUUGACACUGUCUAAGGAAAAGUACAAAAAACACAAACCAUCCAAUGAACCCUGCCACGGUCUGACAGCAGCAGUAAUCCAGUCAACAGAAGUGCACAAGGCUCGUACAUACUGAGAUUGUAGAUCUUCACCCACAUCCACUUUGCCUGUGACAUGCACUGCUGGGGAGUACAGUGAUGAAUUGAUGAGGACACC